Small RNA from Eggerthella lenta DSM 2243, 151 nucleotides. It matches the Rfam family "Collinsella-1 RNA". The record is from Rfam. Lineage: Bacteria; Bacillati; Actinomycetota; Coriobacteriia; Eggerthellales; Eggerthellaceae.
AGAUGCCCGGGCUCCACCCCGGGCAUCUGCGUAUCAACUCCGGUCCACCGGGUAGAAUCACAGGUGAACGAAGCGGACCCUGCGCAGGUUGCUAGCCAGUUACGCGGGCGAUGCGGAUUUCAGGUUUAAAGGCCGGGCUGCACUCCCGGCC